GGACGAACGCUGGCGGCGUGCUUAAUCCAUGCAAGUCGAACGGGCGAUUCCGGAAGUCCUUCGGGGCGGAAGGGAGAGCUUAGUGGCGAACGGGUGAGUAACGCGUGACCAACCAACCUUAAGCAGGGGGACAACAGCUGGAAACGGCUGCUAAUACCGCAUAAGACCACAGUGAGGCAUCUUACAGGGGUCAAAGGAGCAAUCCGGCUUAAGACGGGGUCGCGUCCCAUUAGUUAGUAGGUGAGGCAACGGCUCACCUAGACUGCGAUGGGUAGCCGAGCUGAGAGGCUGAUCGGCCACACUGGGACUGAGAUACGGCCCAGACUCCUACGGGAGGCAGCAGGAAGGAAUAUUGGGCAAUGGGGGAAACCCUGACCCAGCAACGCCGCGUGAAGGAAGAAGGCCUUCGGGUUGUAAACCUCUGUGACAGGGGACGAAGGAAGUGACGGUACCCUGAGAGGAAGCUCCGGCAAACUACGUGCCAGCCGCUGC
RNAcentral lists this ribosomal RNA (492 nucleotides) under uncultured bacterium. Its description in RNAcentral is "bacterial SSU rRNA". It matches the Rfam family "Bacterial small subunit ribosomal RNA", at positions 27 to 518 of the family's 1533-position model. The record is from RNAcentral.